Molecule: unclassified non-coding RNA, 204 nt
Filed under: uncultured Sebacina
Lineage: Eukaryota; Fungi; Basidiomycota; Agaricomycetes; Sebacinales; Sebacinaceae
Description: sequence contains ITS2
Source: RNAcentral
UACUCUCACACUUCUAAUUCCUUUUGGGAUUGGGAGCGGUGGACUUGGGUGUUGCUGCUUUAGUUGUGGCUCACCUCAAAUAAGUUAGUGCAACUCUUGGUUGGACAUAGUACGGCGUGAUAAGUGUCUUCGCCGGCUCCUCGCAAAGAGGGUGGCCGAUCGGGAGCUCUGUUGCUUCAAACUGUCUUCGGACAAUCUUUGACA